CCCCUGCUGCAGCCACCCUUUGCCUUUAUCUCCAAUUUCUUUAAUAAGAAAUCUCAUCUCUAAUUGCUCGACCAUCUCUCUCCCUGGGAAAAACCUAGCGCCGCCAUCUACCGCUGGCUCCGUCCUCCCUUCCAUCCAUGAUCCACCGGCGCAGCUCCUCGCUCUCCCGGGCCACGGCCUACGUCUCUGAUCCCGUCGCCUGCUGCCUGCCUCUUUUCCCCGGCGUGGAUGGCUUCGCGCUGUGAGAUCCAACUUCCUGAAGGCCGUCUUCAACAGCGAACUUGUGUGUUGCCUAGCGGAAGAGUGAAGAAGAUCCUAGCGGUCGUAGACCUCUCUCCACACCCCCAUACAAUCUUCCGUAGUACCUGGACUAAUUCGUGUGUGGAAGGUAAUCUGACUUUUUUUUGUUUCUGUUCUUUCAAUGCCCGCUUGUAAUUAGUAAGAAGUACUACUUCUAUGUAGUUUUCUGAACUCCCAUCUCUCUAUCGACCACUAUGGACUCAAUUUUGAAUUGAUCUUACAGAUUACUUUCUCUGUUAUUUCUUCUAAAUUAUCAAUCCUCACAUCUGCAAGGUGCUUGAUAAUAUGCCUCUGUGAUAUUACCCUCCUGAAGCAAGAUGGCAAAUGUUCUUGAUUAAUAUUUCCUCUUGUAUUUUCCAUGAACUGAACAAUCGUAUGAAGACAGCACCAUAUGUCAAUAGUUAUUUACUGGAAUUUUUAUAUACCCAGUGAGUUAAUUUAUUAGUCAUUUGUCAUCCUUUGCAGAAUUUUUCUGGGCGAGGAUUUUGUCUAAGAAGCACAAUCAAGGCUAUAGGAAAUUCAGAGAAACGGAGAAGACAUGGGAGCUGAUGUACAGUUAUCUGCAUGUAGAAACUACGAAGUUUCAACUAGUUAGAAUUUUUUUCUAGUGUGCAUACAUGUUGUACCACUCAGCUGUAAAUAUACUAUCAUCACUAUUGGUAAUAUAAUGUAUAAUGUUAUAGCCCCUUCCGUGUGA
This is a long non-coding RNA of Brachypodium distachyon (stiff brome), 997 nucleotides long. RefSeq lists it as uncharacterized. The record is from RefSeq and is a predicted model, not a curated record. The transcript has 2 exons. NCBI's taxonomy places the organism in Eukaryota, Viridiplantae, Streptophyta, Magnoliopsida, Poales, Poaceae.